Molecule: transfer RNA, 72 nt
Filed under: Mustela putorius furo (domestic ferret)
Lineage: Eukaryota; Metazoa; Chordata; Mammalia; Carnivora; Mustelidae
Rfam family: tRNA
About the family: Transfer RNA (tRNA) molecules are approximately 80 nucleotides in length. Their secondary structure includes four short double-helical elements and three loops (D, anti-codon, and T loops).
Source: Rfam by way of RNAcentral
GCCUGGCUGGUUCAGUCAAUGGAGCAUGUGACUCUUGAUCUUGGGUUGUGGGUUUGAGCCCCACGCUGGGUG